GGGUGCGAUCAUACCAGCACUAAUGCACCGGAUUCCAUCAGAACUCCGCAGAUCAGCGUGCUUGGGCGAGAGUAGUACUAGGAUGGGUGACCUCCCGGGAAGUCCUCGUGUUGCACCCC
Molecule: ribosomal RNA, 119 nt
Filed under: Eutrema salsugineum
Lineage: Eukaryota; Viridiplantae; Streptophyta; Magnoliopsida; Brassicales; Brassicaceae
Source: RNAcentral